UUGGAUCAAAGUUCCUAUUCGCUGAGCAUUUCAUUUUUACUUCUUCUUCCCUUGUUUAAGUCUCUAAACAUGAAAUGAAACAUAGACAUCUUCUUCGGCUGUAAAAGAAAACAAAGUAUGCGUUUAUAUUGUAUGGUUCUCUCAUUCAUCUUUCGUUUUUGCACUUUUUCUUCUUUAUUUAAUUUUUGAGUUCUUUAUAAUCAAAAACUUCGGAUCAUCUUUAGAUGUUUUGCAAGAAAAAAAAGUUUCGAAACUCUGCUUUGUAGGCUAUAAACUCGAACCUAAAAGUGGCAAAAAAUAAUCAAGGAAAAAUUGAGAAGCUUCAAAAAGAUAAGGUUACCAGUGUUGCAAAAGAUGAUUAUUCAUCAUGGUAAGAGAUGUCCCACUCUCAUCAAAUAUGUGUGAUUAUCACUAUACACAUGUCUCUACCAUAUCUUUCGUUGGUAAAUAUCUGAGUCCAUGACCGACUUUAGUGGGUUAUAAAUACCCUUUCUUUCUCAUUGUUGUAAGAUUGUAAGAUAAGAAACAAGAUAAAUAAUAAUAUCAUU
Molecule: long non-coding RNA, 548 nt
Filed under: Brassica rapa (field mustard)
Lineage: Eukaryota; Viridiplantae; Streptophyta; Magnoliopsida; Brassicales; Brassicaceae
Description: long non-coding RNA (BRAP_LNC005004)
Source: RNAcentral